RNAcentral lists this ribosomal RNA (477 nucleotides) under uncultured bacterium. RNAcentral's name for it is "bacterial SSU rRNA". It matches the Rfam family "Bacterial small subunit ribosomal RNA", at positions 29 to 526 of the family's 1533-position model. The record is from RNAcentral.
AGCGAACGCUGGCGGCAGGCUUAACACAUGCAAGUCGAACGCAUCCUUCGGGAUGAGUGGCAGACGGGUGAGUAACACGUGGGAACGUACCUUUUAGUUCGGAAUAACUCAGGGAAACUUGGGCUAAUACCGGAUACGCCCUUUGGGGGAAAGAUUUAUCGCUAAAAGAUCGGCCCGCGUCUGAUUAGCUAGUUGGUGUGGUAAUGGCGCACCAAGGCGACGAUCAGUAGCUGGUCUGAGAGGAUGAUCAGCCACACUGGGACUGAGACACGGCCCAGACUCCUACGGGAGGCAGCAGUGGGGAAUAUUGGACAAUGGGGGCAACCCUGAUCCAGCCAUGCCGCGUGUGUGAAGAAGGCCUUAGGGUUGUAAAGCACUUUCAGUCAGGAGGAAGGGUGCAAGGUUAAUAGCUUUGCACAUUGACGUUACUGACAGAAGAAGCACCGGCUAACUCCGUGCCAGCCGCCGCGGUAACAC